RNAcentral lists this ribosomal RNA (497 nucleotides) under uncultured bacterium. Its description in RNAcentral is "partial 16S ribosomal RNA". It matches the Rfam family "Bacterial small subunit ribosomal RNA", at positions 28 to 507 of the family's 1533-position model. The record is from RNAcentral.
GAUGAACGCUGGCGGCGUGCCUAAUACAUGCAAGUCGAGCGAACAGACGAGGAGCUUGCUCCUCUGACGUUAGCGGCGGACGGGUGAGUAACACGUGUAUAACCUACCUAUAAGACUGGGAUAACUUCGGGACACCGGCUCUAAUACCGGAUAAUAUCUUGCACCGCAUUGUUCAAUAGUGAAAGACGGUUUUGCUGUCACUUCUCGCUGCAUCCGCGCUGCAUUAGCUAGUUGGUAAGGUAACGGCUUACCAAGGCAACGAUGCGUAGCCGACCUGAGAGGGUGGUAGGCCACAUGGGAACUGAGACAGGGACCAGACUCCUACGAGAGGCAGCAGUAGGGAAUCGGCCGCAAUGGGCGAAAGCCUGACGGAGCAACGCCGAGUGAGUGAUGAAGGUGUUCGGAUCGUAAAACUCUGUUAUUAGGGAAGAACAAAUGUGUAAGUAACUAUGCACGUCUUGACGGUACCGAAUCAGAAAGCCACGGCUAACUACGUG